AGAGUUUGAUCCUGGCUCAGAGCGAACGUUGGCGGCGCGCUUAACACAUGCAAGUCGAGCGAGAACGGAUCCUUCGGGAUCUCAGUAAAGCGGUGCACGGGUGAGUAACACGUGGGUAAUCUACCUUUCGGUUAGGGACAACCUCGGGAAACUGGGGCUAAUACCAAAUACGUCCUUCUGGCCUCCGGGCUAGAAAGGGAAAGAAGGCCUCUCCAUGGAAGCUUUUGCCGAAGGAUGAGCCCGCGGCCCAUCAGCUAGAUGGCGGAGUAAUAGUCCAUUAUGGCUACGACGGGUAGCUGGUCUGAGAGGAUGAUCAGCCACACUGGAAUUGAGAUAUGGUCCAGACUCCUACGGGAAGCAGCAGUGGGGAAUAUUGCGCAAUGGGCGAAAGCCUGACGCAGCGACGCCGCGUGGGUGAUGAAGGCCUUCGGGUCGUAAAGCCCUGUCGGAGAGGGACGAAAUAUGGUGGGAAUAAUAUCCCAUCGGUCUGAUGGUACUUCUCCAGAAAGCACCGGCUAACUCCGUGCCAGUAGUUGUGGUAAGACGGAGGGUGCAAACGUUGCUCGGAAUCACUGGGCGUAAAGCGCGUGUAGGCGGACGGGCAAGCGAGAUGUGAAAGCCCUCGGCUUAACUGAGGAAGAGCAUUUCGAACUGCUCGUCUUGAGUGCGGGAGAGGGAGGUAGAAUUCCCGGUGUAGAGGUGAAAUUUGUAGAUAUCGGGAGGAAUAUUGGUGGUGAAGGUGGCCUCCUGGACCGACACUGACGCUGAGACGCGAAAGCGUGGGGAGCAAACAGGAUUAGAUAUCCUGGUAGUCCACGCCGUAAACGAUGGGUACUAGGUGUCGCGGGUAUUAACCCCUGCGGUGCCGAAGCUAACGCGUUAAGUACCCCGCCUGGGGAGUACGGCCGCAAGGCUAAAACUCAAAGGAAUUGACGGGGGCCCGCACAAGCGGUGGAGCAUGUGGUUUAAUUUGAUGCAAUGUGCAGAACCUUACCUGGGCUUGAAAACUGCCGAAUCCGAUUGAAAAAUUGGAGUGUUUUUUUAAGGAACGGUAGCACAGGUGCUGUAUGGCUGUCGUCAGCUCGUGUUGUGAGAUGUUGGGUUAAGUUCCGCAACGAGCGCAACCCCUGCCUUCAGUUGCCAGUAUAUUAGAUGGGAACUCUAAAGGGACUGCCGGUGUUAAACCGGAGGAAGGUGGGGAUGACGUCAAGUCCUCAUGGCCCCUACGUCCAGGGCUACACACGUGCUACAAUGGCUACUAUAAAGGGCAGUGAACCCGUGAGGGGAAGCCAAUCUUAAAAAAGUAGUCACAGUACGGAUAGGAGUCUGUAACUUGACUCCUUGAAGGCGGAAUCGCUAGUAAUUGCUGAUUAGUAGGCAGCGGUGAAUACGUUCCCGGGCCUUGUACACACCGCCCGUCACGCCAUGGGAGUCGGUUGCUCCAGAAGUCGUUGAGCUAACCCGUUAGGGAGGCAGACGCCCAAGGAGUGGCUGAUGACUGGGGUGAAGUCGAAAUAAGGUA
This 1522-nucleotide ribosomal RNA is filed under the name metagenome. RNAcentral's name for it is "bacterial SSU rRNA". It matches the Rfam family "Bacterial small subunit ribosomal RNA". The record is from RNAcentral.